Molecule: ribosomal RNA, 454 nt
Filed under: uncultured bacterium
Lineage: Bacteria
Description: bacterial SSU rRNA
Rfam family: Bacterial small subunit ribosomal RNA
Source: RNAcentral
ACNUNNAGAGAUGUAAGCUUCCCUUCGGGGACAGGGAGACAGGUGCUGCAUGGCUGUCGUCAGCUCGUGUCGUAAGAUGUUGGGUUAAGUCCCGCAAUGAGCGCAACCCUUGUCCUUAGUUGCUACCAUUAAGUUGAGCACUCUGAGGAGACUGCCGGUGUUAAACCGGAGGAAGGCGGGGAUGACGUCAAGUCCUCAUGGCCCCUACAUCCAGGGCUACACACGUACUACAAUGGCAAAGACAAAGGGUCGCGAAACCGCGAGGUGAAGCUAAUCCCAAAAACAUUGUCUCAGUCCGGAUUGAAGUCUGCAACUCGACUUCAUGAAGCUGGAAUCGCUAGUAAUCGCAGAUCAGCACGCUGCGGUGAAUACGUUCCCGGGCCUUGUACACACCGCCCGUCACACCACGNAAAGUGGUCAUAACCAGAAGCAGGUGCACCAACCGCAAGGGGGU